UAACACGGGGGUUGCAAGCGUUGUCCGGAAUUACUAGGCGUAAAGGGCAGGUAGGCGGAUAGAUAAGUUUGAUGUUUAAGGCAGCGGCUCACCCGCUGUAAGGCAUCAGAUACUGUUUAUCUGGAAUACGGUUGGGGAAGACAGAAUUCCUGGUGUAGCGGUGGAAUGCGCAGAGAUCAGGAGGAAUACCGAAGGCGAAGGCAGUCUUCUAAGCCGUUAUUGACGCUAAACUGCGAAGGUGUGGGUAUCAAACAGGAUUAGAUACCCUGGUAGUCCACACAGUAAACGAUAAUCACUAGGUGUUGGGUUCGAAGAGGAUUCGGUGCCGUAGCUAACGCGAUAAGUGAUUCGCCUGGGGAGUACGAUCGCAAGGUUGAAACUUAAAUGAAUUGACGG
RNAcentral lists this ribosomal RNA (396 nucleotides) under bacterium enrichment culture. RNAcentral's name for it is "bacterial SSU rRNA". It matches the Rfam family "Bacterial small subunit ribosomal RNA", at positions 521 to 916 of the family's 1533-position model. The record is from RNAcentral.